CCCUUAGAUGUUCUGGGCCGCACGCGCGCUACACUGACGAAUGCAACGAGCUUAUAACCUUGGCCGAAAGGUCUGGGUAAUCUCCAAAUUUCGUCGUGAUGGGGAUAGAUUAUUGCAAUUAUUAAUCUUCAACGAGGAAUGCCUAGUAAGCGCAAGCCAUCAGCUUGCGUUGAUUACGUCCCUGCCCUUUGUACACACCGCCCGUCGCACCUACCGAUUGAAUGGUCCGGUGAAAUCUCGGGACGGCGGCUUGGUCGCUUGCGUCCGACUGCUGAAACUUGAUUAAACCAUAUCAUUUAGAGGAAGGUGAAGUCGUAACA
This 320-nucleotide ribosomal RNA is filed under the name uncultured eukaryote. RNAcentral describes it as "partial 18S ribosomal RNA". It matches the Rfam family "Eukaryotic small subunit ribosomal RNA", at positions 1470 to 1796 of the family's 1831-position model. The record is from RNAcentral.